AACGCACCUUGCGCCCUUUGGUAUUCCGAAGGGCAUGCCUGUUUGAGUGUCAUUAAAUUAUCAACCUUGCUCGCUUUUACUAGCUUGAGUUAGGCUUGGAUGUGAGGGCUUGCUGGCUUCCUUCAGUGGAUGGUCUGCUCCCUUUAAAUGCAUUAGUGGGAUCUCUUGUGGACCGUCACUUGGUGUGAUAAUUAUCUAUGCCUUGAGACUUUGAAGCAAACUAAUGGGAAUCCGCUUAUAACCGUCUUCGGACAAAUUAAUGACUAUUUGACCUCAAAUCAGGUAGGACUACCCGCUGAACUUAA
RNAcentral lists this unclassified non-coding RNA (305 nucleotides) under uncultured Mycena. RNAcentral's name for it is "sequence contains ITS2". The stretch from base 1 to 52 matches the Rfam family "5.8S ribosomal RNA", at positions 103 to 154 of the family's 154-position model. The record is from RNAcentral. Lineage: Eukaryota; Fungi; Basidiomycota; Agaricomycetes; Agaricales; Tricholomataceae.